Molecule: ribosomal RNA, 267 nt
Filed under: Candida tropicalis
Lineage: Eukaryota; Fungi; Ascomycota; Pichiomycetes; Serinales; Debaryomycetaceae
Description: partial 26S ribosomal RNA
Rfam family: Eukaryotic large subunit ribosomal RNA
Source: RNAcentral
UUUGGCCCUUUAAUUAAGCGCGCGGAAUGAAGCCGGCAACCCCUCAAAUUUGAAAUCUGGCUCUAAAAAAAAAAAGAAAGUUGUAAUUUGAAGAAGGUAUCUUUGUGUCUCUGGGCUCUUGUCUAUGUUUCUUGGACAGAACGUCACAGAGGGUGAGAAUCCCGUGCGAUGAUAUGAUCCCGGCCUAUGUAAAGUUCCUUCGAAGAGUCGAGUUGUUUGGGAAUGCAGUUCUAAUGGGUGCGUAAUUCUUUCUAAAGCUAAUUAUUG